GUUGAGGUAGUCGAGGUGGUCCAAAGCACUCGAUAUUAAGGUCGUCUUCCGAGAGGGCGCGGGUUCGAACCCACUCUCGGCA
RNAcentral lists this transfer RNA (82 nucleotides) under Salix viminalis (osier). The record is from RNAcentral. Lineage: Eukaryota; Viridiplantae; Streptophyta; Magnoliopsida; Malpighiales; Salicaceae.